CCAUUUUCCUUUUUUAAAUGUAAAAAUUUCACCCAUUCUUUAAGGUCCAAAUUAAAUGUCACUUCAUCCAGAAAGCCCUCCUUGACCCAUCCAGCUAGGCAAGUCCUCACCUUCCUUCAACCCUCAUGGGUCUUUGACCAGUGACUCCAGGAGUGACUGUUCUUACUCUUUUCCUUGGCUUAGAGCUGUUUACCGUAUAAAUCUUUCAUCUCCCUUAAUCUGGACUAUGAGCUACUUUUGCCAGAAACCAUGUCAUACCUUCCCUGUAUCCUCAGCUUGGGAAAGAGCAAGGAUGCAAUCCUUGCUGGAUAAUGGAAAGCAAAGAGGAAGGAAGGAAGGAAGGAGGAAUAGAAGGAAGAAAGAAACUAAAUCUGUUUCUAAUCCCUGGACAUAAAGAACAGACUGAUUUACAGCAACCACCUGGAUACGAACAAAAUGACUCUUCUCUUCAAUGAGCACCAGAGAGGCCAGAGCAAGUUUCUCGUAAAAAUUCCCAGUCCCUACAUUUUCUAACAGCAAUUCUCAUUUCUUUUCUCUAGGUUUCUAAAUCCACUGCAGGGCACCUCUGUUAUGCUCCAGCCUGGCUCACAUUGCCACAAUGUCAGGCUGAUCUGUCCUCUAUGCUUCAGCAUCAGCCAAAAUGAAAAGAUAAGAUGCUACCUGAAGAAUGAAAACGAACUUGUUAGGUCUUGAGUUGCAAGCAAUGCAUACAAAGAUGAGGAAACCAAGGAUCAAAUGGCUAAACAGCUGGAGAGUGGCAGUGCUGAGAUUUCUGCGGAGGUGGUCAGGCUCCAAAUCCCAUCUUCCUUCCUGAUGAGAACCCCACGCUGCAUUAGAGAAAUCACAGAAAAUGGCGCCACUGCCCUGCAGGGCAGACCUGGACCUGAUGAUACAGCAAUCAGCAACCAGUGUCCUCUCAGGUCUUCAUUUAAAUAUUUCUCCAGAAAAGAAAAGACCGGGUAUUCAAAUGGAGACUAACAAGGACCUGAGAACUGUACUAGGAAGAACUGGUGAAUAAAGCACUGUAAACUCAUCCUCAGUGGCUGUCCUUCUGAAUUGGUGCCUUUGGAGACAAAAAUACAUAUUUUCUCUCUGAAGAGAUCCCACAGCUGUGUGAGGGUCCUCCCUGGAUUCCCAGCUCAGGCCAGAGCAGCCAAGUAGCACUCCCAGGAGAGGAGGAGAUGGCCCAUGGGCAAGCCUCUGGCUUCCGCAGUCUCUGUUGGUGGUCAUCCUUGGAGGGACAGGACUCUGGGGUCACAGAGGAAGACUUCCUCAAACAUUUCAACCGGGGCUUCAAGAAUAAGUAGGACUGGAUAGACCACGAAGUGAGAAGGUGAGCGACUCUGGCAGAGCUCUGCAAGACUCUGUGAAAAGGCAUGAAAGGGCCUCGCAUUGGGGGAAAUACAUGUACAUGCACAUACAUGCAUAUACAUACACUGAAUAUUAAAUAUAUAUGAUAUAUAUCACAAAUAAUGUUAUAUAUGUAUAUAGAUGUACAUAAAAUGGUGUUAUGUGAGUAUAUACCUACAUGUUAACAAUGGUUACUUUUGGUGACAAAUAAAAAU
This 1565-nucleotide long non-coding RNA is filed under the name Homo sapiens (human). RNAcentral describes it as "HSALNT0178769". Lineage: Eukaryota; Metazoa; Chordata; Mammalia; Primates; Hominidae. The record is from RNAcentral.